Long non-coding RNA from Rattus norvegicus (Norway rat), 557 nucleotides. The record is from Ensembl. Lineage: Eukaryota; Metazoa; Chordata; Mammalia; Rodentia; Muridae.
AAAGGCAAAAGCUUCAGGAAGCCAGUGGAGAUGUAAGGGAACAAACUCGAAGGUGGUCCUUGGCUUACUUGAGAAUGCUGGAUCCUGUCUGUUAUAUGCAGAUUUCACCAGAUGCCAGGGGAGGGGUACUCUGCCUCACCAGAAGAGGACCUGGAAUUGCAUAACUACAAGGACAACUUGUGUGACUUCUAAAACAGGGCCCUACAUGGAAAAAUUAUUAUUCAUCUUUGGAGAGAACAUCUUGUCAAGUGGAGCUGUUCAACAAAACAAGGAAAACAUCUCUGCCAAAGCACAGCAAAUGUGAUUACCAAGCCAAGGAGAAGCCCAUAAUUAGAUCAUUUCCAUGGAAACAACCUAAUUACAUGUGUAAAGCAGUGAGAGCUGAGCUGUGCAUUGAAUAUGCUAAUACCAUUGUCUAUGUUGUAAUGUUUCUGCUACUUAGCUUCCCUCAAAUAUAAAAUAUAAACCGUGUAGAUAAACCCCAACUUCUUUUCUUUUUUUUCACUUAGCAAAGGGAAUAAAGACCCACUGUGCAUUGCAAAUGAAUGUAAUCCUGG